UUAUUUGAAAAGGCCCCCGAUAAUAAAAACUUGGUUUAGGCCUCCAAUUUGAUUGAGCCGCCACUGGAAUUACUUGUGAAUGUCGGGACGUCUAGCGUAUGUUGUCAUACUGGUCUGCGCUAGAGAGCUCCUCAACGAUCAUAUCCCAUCUAAACCAUCGAGGAAGAGUCGAACCCAAGACCUUGAGAGCAAAAACUCUCCUCUGACCCUCCAUAAGGCAAACCGGUGACCAACCCACCUAAGUGAGUUGGUUAUCAGAGCCUAUAUAUGACGCCCAAAUUACCAUCUCUUUAUUUUUUUAAUAGUGACAGUCGUCCAAAUUGAUUUGAAAAAAACAUAAUGAGAUGGUAAUAAUGACUUGUCCGAUGUGUUAUCUGUUGAUAAAAGACAGUUGUCCUUGUGGUUUUAAGUCCCACAUAACUAAUAUAAAGUGCUGGAAUCUUUCUUUGAUGGUUUUAAGGCUGUGAAGAUAAUGAUGAAUUUCAACAAAGUGAAGACGAGAUUAUCCGUAUCUUGGCAGGGUAACUCAAUCACUUGGAUGGUUAAGUGUUAUUUCACAUUGCAACCGGUGAUUAAGUUUGCAGCCAUGGCGGAUUAAUCCUCUUUAUUUCAUUGUUUAUACAUCUAUCUAUCCGAGCCUCAUAAAUAGUUUUAUGUUAUUCUAUUUACUAUCUGUUAUUCUAUAGAAUUCUUUUCAUACAUUAUAUUUCUUAAACUAAUAAACUGUUCCUUUUCUGUUCAAAAAACGAAAAUAAACCUUUUCUUCUCUUAUUCAAGAAUUUAAACUUUGGGAUCUAUGUUUGGUUUGAUAUGUAAUUUUAACAGUUUAUGAGAUUGUUUGACUUUUCUGUUACUCAAUAAAUGUCAUUCCAAGUAUUGAGCAGCCAACCAUGUCAAUUGGCUAAAAUGCUUUACACCUUGAAGGUUAGUUUACUUAAUAAAUCUGCAGCCCUGUUUAAUUUAACUUUUGCCUUUGGGGGAUGAAGAUUUCAUUUGCAAGUUUAGUCCAUUUUACUCCGUAGAAUGGGCCCUGGUAUGAGUGUCGGGUGUUUUUACCUGGUAUCAGUGGUUGAAACUGAGUCUCUCAAAUUUAAUUAUUCCGAGUUCUUCCCAUUAUAUAGGAAGUAGUUUGUAAUGCAAACACAUUCAACUUGGUUGAAAUGAAAUGAAGCAAUCAGAGCAGGGAUUUCGAAGAAAAUAGUAUCGAAGGGGCGUGAGUGAAUCGGAACAAGGUUGCGGUUAAGAGCAUCUUUGCGGGAAACUUUGUUAUUUUGAAAGAAACAAUAUCUGAUUGACUUCGUUCUUUCAAGUUGUAACAUCAGCCAAACUGUAUACAAGGCUACUUAGUCAUUGUAGUUAUUUCAACAAUGCCACAUUCGAGGAUAUGUUGUGCUGCACUAGUGGAUGCGGUGGUUUGCCAAGAGAAGGAUGUGUAUAUGCAAGGGGCUUAUUGUAUAGGACCAUUGUAGAGAAUAUGUGUUGGAAUAAACAUGGUUUGAUUCAAGGGAAAA
Erigeron canadensis is the source of this 1511-nucleotide long non-coding RNA. RefSeq lists it as uncharacterized. The record is from RefSeq and is a predicted model, not a curated record. NCBI's taxonomy places the organism in Eukaryota, Viridiplantae, Streptophyta, Magnoliopsida, Asterales, Asteraceae. The transcript is spliced from 3 exons.